Triticum urartu is the source of this 135-nucleotide non-coding RNA. The record is from Rfam. Lineage: Eukaryota; Viridiplantae; Streptophyta; Magnoliopsida; Poales; Poaceae.
UUUCUACUCCCUCCGCCAAAAAAUACUUGUCAUCAAAAUGGAUAAAAAGAGAUGUAUCUAAAACUAAAAUACGUCUAGAUACAUUUCCUUUUAUCCAUUUUGAUGACAAGUAUUUCCGGAUGGAGGGAGUAUUUG